This 364-nucleotide ribosomal RNA is filed under the name Ixodes ricinus (castor bean tick). RNAcentral describes it as "partial 16S ribosomal RNA". The stretch from base 219 to 364 matches the Rfam family "Bacterial large subunit ribosomal RNA", at positions 2473 to 2619 of the family's 2925-position model. The record is from RNAcentral. Lineage: Eukaryota; Metazoa; Arthropoda; Arachnida; Ixodida; Ixodidae.
AAAAGCUUUCUUUAAUUGAAUAAUUGAAUUUAAUUUUUUAGUGCAAAAGCAAAAAUAAAAAUUAGGGACAAGAAGACCCUAUGAAUUUUUUAUUAAAUUUUAUAAAACUUUAUAUAAAAUUUAAUUUAAUUGGGGUGAUGGAAAAAGAAUAAAUAUCUUUUUUUUUUAAAAAAAAAUUGGUUCCGUUUUUAGCGAUUAAAUGAAAAAAAUACUCUAGGGAUAACAGCGUAAUAAUUUUGGAUAGUUCAUAUAGAUAAAAUAGUUUGCGACCUCGAUGUUGGAUUAGGAUUCUUUUUUGGUGAAGAAGUUAAAAAAAGAAGUUUGUUCAACUUAUAAUUUCCUACUUGAUCUGAGUUCAGACCGG